This 446-nucleotide ribosomal RNA is filed under the name uncultured bacterium. Its description in RNAcentral is "partial 16S ribosomal RNA". It matches the Rfam family "Bacterial small subunit ribosomal RNA", at positions 338 to 795 of the family's 1533-position model. The record is from RNAcentral.
CCUACGGGUGGCAGCAGUCGAGAAUCAUUCACAAUGGGGGAAACCCUGAUGGUGCGACGCCGCGUGGGGGAAUGAAGGUCUUCGGAUUGUAAACCCCUGUCAUGUGGGAGCAAAUUAAAAAGAUAGUACCACAAGAGGAAGAGACGGCUAACUCUGUGCCAGCAGCCGCGGUAAUACAGAGGUCUCAAGCGUUGGUCGGAAUCACUGGGCGGAAAGCGUGCGUAGGCUGUUUCGUGAGUCGUGUGUGAAAGGCGCGGGCUCAACCCGCGGACGGCACAUGAUACUGCGAGACUAGAGUAAUGGAGGGGGAACCGGAAUUCGCGGUGUAGCAGUGAAAUGCGUAGAUAUCGAGAGGAACACUCGUGGCGAAGGCGGGUUCCUGGACAUUAACUGACGCUGAGGCACGAAGGCCAGGGGAGCGAAAGGGAUUAGAUACCCCAGUAGUC